Molecule: ribosomal RNA, 508 nt
Filed under: uncultured bacterium
Lineage: Bacteria
Description: partial 16S ribosomal RNA
Rfam family: Bacterial small subunit ribosomal RNA
Source: RNAcentral
GACGAACGCUGGCGGCGUGCCUAAUACAUGCAAGUCGAACGCUUCUUUCCUCCCGAGUGCUUGCACUCAAUUGGAAAGAGGAGUGGCGGACGGGUGAGUAACACGUGGGUAACCUACCCAUCAGAGGGGGAUAACACUUGGAAACAGGUGCUAAUACCGCAUAACAGUUUAUGCCGCAUGGCAUAAGAGUGAAAGGCGCUUUCGGGUGUCGCUGAUGGAUGGACCCGCGGUGCAUUAGCUAGUUGGUGAGGUAACGGCUCACCAAGGCGACGAUGCAUAGCCGACCUGAGAGGGUGAUCGGCCACACUGGGACUGAGACACGGCCCAGACUCCUACGGGAGGCAGCAGUAGGGAAUAUUCGGCAAUGGGCGAAAGUCUGACCGAGCAACGCCGCGUGAGUGAAGAAGGUUUUCGGAUCGUAAAACUCUGUUGUUAGAGAAGAACAAGGGCGGUAGUAACUGAACGUCCCCUGACGGUAUCUAACCAGAAAGCCACGGCUAACUACGUG